Molecule: non-coding RNA, 906 nt
Organism: Danio rerio (zebrafish)
Lineage: Eukaryota; Metazoa; Chordata; Actinopteri; Cypriniformes; Danionidae
Source: Ensembl
UUCUCGACAUAAGAUCACAGAUUUUGUUGCUCUCAAAAAAUGUUUGUAUUUUUUCAUGCACAGAUCACUUGACAGUAUGCAGUGUUUCACGAUGAGGUUUAAAUGUUGUGUUUUAUGGAACUUAUUUAAGGCAAAUAUUUUAUAUUGUUAUUUUUUAAACUCACAUUGUUUAUAUGUAAAUAUUAAAUUGACUUAUUUUGUAGUGGGAAGCACAUUAGAUAUUUAAAACGAAAAAUCACUGUCUCCUAGUUGUCAAUUUAAUUGCGCGGUUUGGAUGCCAUUGGUUAAAAAGUUUAUUGGUAAAUUAAAGGUGUAAAAUCACACUCAACCACACUUGAAUAAUGCAUCUGCCCCAGCAACUUUGGGAUCAUGCCCGCAGAGGGAGAAUCAUCUGUCGUGUAUUGGCAUCCUUUGAAGUUCUGGAGGCGUUUCCUUGACUUGGCUGUGAAGUAUGGACCAAUAGCUUGGUAGGAAUUCUGCAACAAUAGGUAUUCUUCCUUCUGACCCCCUUUGGAGGAAUAUAAAGUACACGACGGAGCGCGCAUCACUUCCUCGAAUCAGUACAUUGCCUUUGUCUUAUCACUUUGGAUUUAAAAUAAUGGCUUACUUCUUCCGUUGGGCCUUUCUAUUCCCUAUUUGGGACAAAGCUAUCCUUGGACACACUUGGUAAGUGGAUCAUCAACUGCGAUAAUGUAAACAGUUUUGCUUUUGUUAACGCGUUUUUUUAACCUUUUCUAUUCAUAGGACAAUGAACAAUUUGCUGAUAACUGGGCCAAAGGCUUAUCUUACCUAUGCAAAUAGUGUGCGGGUUGGGGCACAGAGUGGGAUACAUGAGUGCAAACACCAGUUUGCAUGGGACAGGUGGAACUGCCCGGACACCGCUCUGCAACUCUCUACUCACAAAGG